CAGUCUGUCGAGAACUUCCCAGGAUUGGCCUCUGGUUUUCAGGGAGACACAGAACAAGUUGCUUAACAGUUUUGCCAGAGUACUUCAACACUGACUUGGAAAAACCCUUGCAGUUUCUGUCCUCAAUCUCUCUGAAGCAGAGUCUGCCAGUUAGACCGGUCUGCAAGAUGGACAGUUGCUUUAAAACGUUAGCAUACAUCUUCAGCUCUUGGAAAAGAAAGAAAUUUUCCACAGCCUUGAUAUUGAAAUCCAGCCCAAGGUUAUGAGAAGAAUAGAUGAAGGUAUCCAGCAGAUGAAUUGGGUUAAUUUGUCUUCAAGCCAUCAGUUCAAAUCUUGUUUAAAAUAAUAAGUUGAAAAGCAUUAUAUGAAAUGAGAUACUGCUCUUAUACAUUUUCUUAUUUGUGAAGUGUUUUACAUCACAAAACCAUUAGAAAAAUCCAUAUUAUGUUACCAUACUAAUGAUAAUUUCAGAAGAAAUGCUGAAGGCUUGGGGUUCUUUAGCCACCUGGAAAGUACACCUAGCAAAGGGUGAGACAGUGGCAAAAACAUUCGUCUUAAGGCUAUUUUAAGCUUAAG
This 576-nucleotide long non-coding RNA is filed under the name Anser brachyrhynchus (Pink-footed goose). RNAcentral's name for it is "lncRNA (ENSABRG00000018984.1)". The record is from RNAcentral. Lineage: Eukaryota; Metazoa; Chordata; Aves; Anseriformes; Anatidae.